This 253-nucleotide ribosomal RNA is filed under the name uncultured bacterium. Its description in RNAcentral is "partial 16S ribosomal RNA". It matches the Rfam family "Bacterial small subunit ribosomal RNA", at positions 524 to 776 of the family's 1533-position model. The record is from RNAcentral.
UACGUAGGUGGCAAGCGUUGUCCGGAAUCACUGGGCGUAAAGGGCGCGUAGGCGGUUGCGUAAGUCAUCUGUGAAAUCCCGGAGCUCAACUCCGGGGCUGCAGGUGAGACUGCGUGACUAGAGCACAGUAGAGGCGAGUGGAAUUCCCGGUGUAGCGGUGGAAUGCGUAGAUAUCGGGAAGAACACCGGUGGCGAAGGCGGCUCGCUGGGCUGUUGCUGACACUGAGAGACGAAAGCUAGGGGAGCAAAUGGG